RNAcentral lists this ribosomal RNA (693 nucleotides) under uncultured bacterium. RNAcentral describes it as "bacterial SSU rRNA". It matches the Rfam family "Bacterial small subunit ribosomal RNA", at positions 60 to 735 of the family's 1533-position model. The record is from RNAcentral.
AGUCGAACGGAAGAUAUACGGCGACGAGAUUUCGGUCGAGUCUAGUGUAUCUUUAGUGGCGGACGGGUGAGUAACGCGUGGGUAACCUGCCUUACACAGGGGGAUAACACUUAGAAAUAGGUGCUAAUACCGCAUAAGCGCACAGUCCCGCAUGGGACAGUGUGAAAAACUGAGGUGGUGUAAGAUGGACCCGCGUCUGAUUAGCUAGUUGGUGGGGUAACGGCCCACCAAGGCGACGAUCAGUAGCCGGUCUGAGAGGGUGGACGGCCACAUUGGGACUGAGACACGGCCCAAACUCUUACGGGAGGCAGCAGUGGGGGAUAUUGGACAAUGGGGGGAACCCUGAUCCAGCGACGCCGCGUGAGUGAAGAAGUAUCUCGGUACGUAAAGCUCUAUCAGCAGGGAAGAAAAGGAACUAAAGUUCCCAUGACGGUACCUGAUUAAGAAGCCCCGGCUAACUACGUGCCAGCAGCCGCGGUAAUACGUAGGGGGCAAGCGUUAUCCGGAUUUACUGGGUGUAAAGGGAGCGUAGACGGCAGCGCAAGUCUGGAGUGAAAUGCCGGGGCCCAACCCCGGAACUGCUUUGGAAACUGUGCAGCUGGAGUGCGGGAGAGGUAAGUGGAAUUCCUAGUGUAGCGGUGAAAUGCGUAGAUAUUAGGAGGAACACCAGUGGCGAAGGCGGCUUGCUGGACC